UACCCGUAAUCUUCAUAGUCCGA
This 23-nucleotide microRNA is filed under the name Heligmosomoides polygyrus. RNAcentral describes it as "hpo-miR-54b-3p". Its record names the gene hpo-miR-54b-3p. Lineage: Eukaryota; Metazoa; Nematoda; Chromadorea; Rhabditida; Heligmosomidae. The record is from miRBase by way of RNAcentral.